UACGAAGGGUGCAAACGUUGCUUGGAAUUAUUGGGCGUAAAGCGCACGUAGGCGGCUUAGCAAGUCGGAUGUGGAAUCCCUCGGCUCAACCAAGGAAGUGCAUCCGAAACUGCUGAGCUUGAGUACGAAAGAGGAUCGCGGAAUUCCCGGUGUAGAGGUGAAAUUCGUAGAUAUCGGGAGGAACACCAGUGGCGAAGGCGGCGAUCUGGGUCGAUACUGACGCUGAGGUGCGAAAGCGUGGGGAGCAAACAGG
This 253-nucleotide ribosomal RNA is filed under the name uncultured bacterium. Its description in RNAcentral is "partial 16S ribosomal RNA". It matches the Rfam family "Bacterial small subunit ribosomal RNA", at positions 524 to 776 of the family's 1533-position model. The record is from RNAcentral.